ACUCGUACCUACGUGCAAGCAUUCACAGGGUUGACCAUUGGAGCGUAUAUGUGAGCAUGUGUAUUCAUAGCAACGAGACACCUACCUUUUGCACGCUGUUCAUCAGAAUGAGGAUGAUGGAAAUUCCUUCUAGUCCUGCUGGUGGGUACCAUGGAUCAUGAAUACCCGUAGGGUAGCAACGUAUCUUCCAUUCACGGCCUCCAAUCAUGAAUGUACUGAAUUCCUU
RNAcentral lists this long non-coding RNA (226 nucleotides) under Setaria viridis. RNAcentral describes it as "long non-coding RNA (SVIR_LNC000590)". Lineage: Eukaryota; Viridiplantae; Streptophyta; Magnoliopsida; Poales; Poaceae. The record is from RNAcentral.